Molecule: long non-coding RNA, 128 nt
Organism: Neodiprion virginianus
Lineage: Eukaryota; Metazoa; Arthropoda; Insecta; Hymenoptera; Diprionidae
Exons: 3
Source: RefSeq, a predicted model, not a curated record
CAGACGGUUGGUCGCCCUGGCAAACAACCGAUCUCGGAUUGUAGCGGGUGCGCAUUAAAUUUGAGCAGACGACGGAACGUGCAGUCUUUAGGAAUUCAAUCUGCAUACACGACAUACUGUGUGUGCAA